This is a long non-coding RNA of Oncorhynchus keta (chum salmon), 1025 nucleotides long. RefSeq lists it as uncharacterized. The record is from RefSeq and is a predicted model, not a curated record. Lineage: Eukaryota; Metazoa; Chordata; Actinopteri; Salmoniformes; Salmonidae. The transcript has 4 exons.
CACACACCUUCUACCAGGGGAUGGGUCCUGUACCCUGUCCUGUUACACCAGUCCCUGUGGUGGAGAGUCUGCAGGUACACACACACACCUUCUACCAGGGGGUGGGUCCUGUACCCUGUCCUGUUACACCAGUCCCUGUGGUGGAGAGUCUACAGGUACACACACCAAAACACACAUUAACAUAUACCUAAACACACACCUUAAUACACACAAACCAGUAUAUUCUCUACUGAGAGACACACCCACACUAACCCCUCUGUUGUCUCUAGUUGAAUGGUGGAGGGGACAGGACCCACACUAACCCCUCUGUUGUCUCUAGUUGAAUGGUGGAGGGGACAGGACCCACACUAACCCCUCUGUUGUCUCUAGUUGAAUGGUGGAGGGGACAGGACCCACACUAACCCCUCUGUUGUCUCUAGUUGAAUGGUGGAGGGGACAGGACCCACACUAACCCCUCUGUUGUCUCUAGUUGAAUGGUGGAGGGGACAGGACCCACACUAACCCCUCUGUUGUCUCUCUAGUUGAAUGGUGGAGGGGACAGGACCCACACUAACCCCUCUGUUGUCUCUCUAGUUGAAUGGUGGAGGGGACAGGACCCACACUAACCCCUCUGUUGUCUCUCUAGUUGAAUGGUGGAGGGGACAGGACCCACACUAACCCCUCUGUUGUCUCUAGUUGAAUGGUGGAGGUGACAGGACCCACACUAACCCCUCUGUUGUCUCUAGUUGAAUGGUGGAGGUGACAGGACCCACACUAACCCCUCUGUUGUCUCUCUAGUUGAAUGGUGGAGGUGACAGGACCCACACUAACCCCUCUGUUGUCUCUCUAGUUGAAUGGUGGAGGUGACAGGACCCACACUAACCCCUCUGUUGUCUCUAGUUGAAUGGUGGAGGUGACAGGACCCACACUAACCCCUCUGUUGUCUCUCUAGUUGAAUGGUGGAGGGGACAGGACCCACACUAACCCCUCUGUUGUCUCUAGUUGAAUGGUGGAGGGGACAGGACCCACACUAACCCCUCUGUUGU